RNAcentral lists this long non-coding RNA (523 nucleotides) under Sorghum bicolor (sorghum). Its description in RNAcentral is "long non-coding RNA (SBIC_LNC008435)". Lineage: Eukaryota; Viridiplantae; Streptophyta; Magnoliopsida; Poales; Poaceae. The record is from RNAcentral.
AGGGGUAAGUGUCACAUAAAAGAUAUAUGAAGUAAUGAAUAGUGACAAAGAUAAUUAAUCUGAUCAUAACUUAGCCACAUAUAAAUAUGAUAAGCACCUCAAUUAGAUACUCUAGAAAGUCAUUAGCAUAGAAUUAGAACGAACUACAAGAAUAUUUCAUAAGUUUUUCUCAACUAUAUAGUCUAGCAUUAUCAUAGUUAGUGCAAGCAUACUUAGUAAUCAUUGCGAGACAAGACUACGCCCAUGCAUAGUGAUAUUAGCAAGGUAAAUGAGAAACAUAGCAAUCACUCCCCUAUAAUAAUAUUGCUCUGCUAGCCCAAUACACGAGAGGGGGACUAUAUAAGAAUCAAUGAAGCUGUCACUAUCACGAACUACCCCACGAUCUUGCAUAUUGGGUACAAUCGCAGAUAAAUACAGUAUAAGCACCACGCCUACACAAUAUCUAUCAUUUACCCAUGGAUCCGAUGGAUAAACGCUAUACGAUCCUAAGCAUGUAUAUAGAUCCAAUCUAACUAAGCCAAGU